GUGGGGAAUAUUGGACAAUGGGCGCAAGCCUGAUCCAGCCAUGCCGCGUGAGUGAUGAAGGCCCUAGGGUUGUAAAGCUCUUUCACCGGAGAAGAUAAUGACGGUAUCCGGAGAAGAAGCUCCGGCUAACUUCGUGCCAGCAGCCGCGGUAAUACGAAGGGGGCUAGCGUUGUUCGGAAUUACUGGGCGUAAAGCGCACGUAGGCGGACAUUUAAGUCAGGGGUGAAAUCCCGGGGCUCAACCCCGGAACUGCCUUUGAUACUGGGUGUCUGGAGUAUGGAAGAGGUAAGUGGAAUUCCGAGUGUAGAGGUGAAAUUCGUAGAUAUUCGGAGGAACACCAGUGGCGAAGGCGACUUACUGGUCCAUUACUGACGCUGAGGUGCGAAAGCGUGGGGAGCAAACAGGAUUAGAUACCCCGGUAGUCC
This 425-nucleotide ribosomal RNA is filed under the name uncultured bacterium. Its description in RNAcentral is "bacterial SSU rRNA". It matches the Rfam family "Bacterial small subunit ribosomal RNA", at positions 354 to 796 of the family's 1533-position model. The record is from RNAcentral.